AUUUUCAUGUUCCUUGCUUUCAAUGGGUUGCGGUUGCCCCCGACAGAAAGCUGAUUAAUCCGUAGGGAGCGAU
This 73-nucleotide non-coding RNA is filed under the name uncultured Gilliamella sp. RNAcentral's name for it is "RpsF leader". It matches the Rfam family "RpsF leader", at positions 13 to 79 of the family's 85-position model. Rfam says of the family: Conserved and widely distributed to many bacterial species RNA structure. The record is from RNAcentral. Lineage: Bacteria; Pseudomonadati; Pseudomonadota; Gammaproteobacteria; Orbales; Orbaceae.